AGGAGUUGUAUUGCCACCAUGUGACUUUUACUUGGAUUCAAGGGAGCUCCU
Molecule: microRNA precursor, 51 nt
Filed under: Picea abies (Norway spruce)
Lineage: Eukaryota; Viridiplantae; Streptophyta; Pinopsida; Pinales; Pinaceae
Description: miR159j stem-loop (pab-MIR159j, pab-MIR159k)
Gene: pab-MIR159j
Source: miRBase by way of RNAcentral